This 152-nucleotide unclassified non-coding RNA is filed under the name uncultured Paraconiothyrium. RNAcentral describes it as "sequence contains ITS2". Lineage: Eukaryota; Fungi; Ascomycota; Dothideomycetes; Pleosporales; Didymosphaeriaceae. The record is from RNAcentral.
ACACCCUCAAGCUCUGCUUGGUGUUGGGCGUCUGUCCCGCCUUUGUGCGUGGACUCGCCCCAAAUUCAUUGGCAGCGGUCUUUGCCUCCUCUCGCGCAGCACAUUGCGUUUCUUGAGGUGCGAAUCGCGUCCACGAAGCAUUAUUACCGUCU